AGGCUUAACACAUGCAAGUCGAGGGGCAGCAUUUUAGUUUGCUUGCAAACUGAAGAUGGCGACCGGCGCACGGGUGAGUAACACGUAUCCAACCUGCCGAUAACUCCGGAAUAGCCUUUCGAAAGAAAGAUUAAUACCGGAUAGCAUACGAAUAUCGCAUGAUAUUUUUAUUAAAGAAUUUCGGUUAUCGAUGGGGAUGCGUUCCAUUAGUUUGUUGGCGGGGUAACGGCCCACCAAGACUACGAUGGAUAGGGGUUCUGAGAGGAAGGUCCCCCACAUUGGAACUGAGACACGGUCCAAACUCCUACGGGAGGCAGCAGUGAGGAAUAUUGGUCAAUGGGCGAGAGCCUGAACCAGCCAAGUAGCGUGAAGGAUGAAGGCUCUAUGGGUCGUAAACUUCUUUUAUAUGGGAAUAAAGUUUUCCACGUGUGGAAUUUUGUAUGUACCAUAUGAAUAAGGAUCGGCUAACUCCGUGCCAGCAGCCGCGGUAAUACGGAGGAUCCGAGCGUUAUCCGGAUUUAUUGGGUUUAAAGGGAGCGUAGGUGGAUUGUUAAGUCAGUUGUGAAAGUUUGCGGCUCAACCGUAAAAUUGCAGUUGAAACUGGCAGUCUUGAGUACAGUAGAGGUGGGCGGAAUUCGUGGUGUAGCGGUGAAAUGCUUAGAUAUCACGAAGAACUCCGAUUGCGAAGGCAGCU
Molecule: ribosomal RNA, 694 nt
Filed under: uncultured Bacteroidales bacterium
Lineage: Bacteria; Pseudomonadati; Bacteroidota; Bacteroidia; Bacteroidales
Description: bacterial SSU rRNA
Rfam family: Bacterial small subunit ribosomal RNA
Source: RNAcentral